Long non-coding RNA from Herpailurus yagouaroundi (jaguarundi), 537 nucleotides. RefSeq lists it as uncharacterized. The transcript has 3 exons. The record is from RefSeq and is a predicted model, not a curated record. Lineage: Eukaryota; Metazoa; Chordata; Mammalia; Carnivora; Felidae.
CUCUCCAGCUCCCCCAGACCUCCCAUCCUCUCAGUCACGAGGCCAGACAAGUAUAAAACUGGCUCCUGCCACAUGGAAGGAAACUUGCUCUCCCCAGGAAGGGUCUGGAAGGGUCAUUUAGAGCCUUUAGCUCCAACAACAAGCUGACUUAGCAAAAGGAAGCAAUGCCAACAUUGAAACUAACCACCCAGAAAGAUGAACGAGUAUCAACCAAAAACACAUUAGCAAAAAUUUCAGGAACAGGCAUUAAAAAGGAGAAGAGCCAAAGACUACAAGGAACAGAGUUUCAGUUGGAGAAGAUGAGAAAGUUCUGGAGAAGGAUGGUGGGGAUGGCUGCACAACAGUGUGAAUGUACUUAAUGCCACAGAACUAUACGUGAAAUGGUUAAAAUGGAAAAUUUUAUGUUAUGAAAAAAAUUUUUGAAAUAAAAAAUAACAAUAAAAAAUAAAGCAUCCAUGAAUAUUCUUACUAAAAAAAACAAGGCCAUAACUAGUGGUCCAUAACUAGUUGGAGAUCUAUCAUCAAAAAAUCUUUUUU